Long non-coding RNA from Octopus bimaculoides (California two-spot octopus), 1697 nucleotides. The record is from RefSeq and is a predicted model, not a curated record. NCBI's taxonomy places the organism in Eukaryota, Metazoa, Mollusca, Cephalopoda, Octopoda, Octopodidae.
AAUUUUCUCAACUUUUUCCGCUCCGAAUCACUCUUGUUCUCCCUCAGUUUCAUUACCCUCAUAUUCUCCCUCCCUCUCCCUCUUUCUCUCUCAGUCUCUCACUCUUUCUCUUCCUUUCCCCGCCCCGUCUCACUCUUACUCCCUCUAUUUUCAUUUCUCCCGCUUCCUAAACCAAUCUGUGUUAUUUUCUCUUUUUCUUCUCCGUUUCCUCCUUUCACUUUUCACCUCUUUACUAUCUUUCUCUGCCUUACUCCCCUUUCUCUCCUCUCUGUCUGUCUGGCUCUCUUCUUAAUACUGCACCACUGCCUUCCUCCUCCCCCUCCUCAUUUCCCACUACAACUGCCCCACCGAUUCUUCUGUCGCUAGGAUUUUACUGUCAAACCUCAUACAGUUAGUGUAAGAUCUGCUGUAUCCAAACAACUCCAUUCUAGCCGAACCAAUUCAUUUCUUCUCCAGGCAGUCACCACAGGAAAACAUCAUAACUGCACAACAUCUGGGACAUUCCUCAGAGAAGAAAACUUUUAUCAUAAGAUUAAAACCAAUGAUUAUCUGAACUGUCAACAUUCCAUAUGGCUGCUAAGAAGAAAGAUGAUAUUCAAGAUUCAGCAUAUUACAGGCGGAACUGUCAGACAACCUAUGGAUGGUAUGGUUCACCUGGUUCAAAUUCUUUAGGCCGUUCUGGACGUUCAUCUCGACGAACCUGUGACCGGUUCAAUGAAAGAAAGUUACCCCGUCCGGAAUCAUCAAAUUAUAUUUAUGAAGGAGGACUUUUCUCAACACCAUCUUCACCCCGACGAGAUUAUUUUGUAAUACACCCUGAAUGGGUAUCUGAGGGAGCAACUCAUAUAAGACUGAGCAGAGACAAGAAAAACCGAACUGGUACUUGGCCAGGCCGGCGUUGUCGUAGUGCCCCACCCCCAAGUUAUCGGAAUCCAAUAACUUGGGAACCAAAUUAAUGUCAAGUGUGAUAAUAGCAAAUGUCUUUGGAUUCUUUUUUUUAAAUGUUUUUUUUUUAAAUUUGUUUCUUUUGCGAAAAAGAAAACAAAACGGAAAAAAAAAAGAAAAUUAAGGCUGAGCUUCUAAGAAAGAGUGGAGUUAAACAAAUAUAUACAACAUGACUUGUAAGAAAAGUGUAAGGUAACGUCAAAUACACACAACAUAAAUUGUAAGAAAGAAUGGAAAAUGUAAACUAUAUAGAUUUUUUUUUAAUUUCAAGAAUUAGAAUAUAAAAAAAUAUGUCAUACAAACUUUACUACAUCUGUGACAAAUAGUAAUAGCAAAGCUAAUAUAAAAUUUAUGAUAGAUCUUUUACAGACACGACUAUGAAUCUGUACCUGAUAUGCAUACAAAUUUACACAUCAAGCUAUUCCUCAUAAAUAUAUACAUAUCUAUACAUGCAUGCAUACAAACAAACACACACACACACGUGUGUGUGUAUAUAUAUGUAUAUAUCAUAUAUAUGUAUAUAUUUAUAUACAUUCAUAUAUAUAUAUAUAUAUAUAUAUAUAUAUAUAUAUAUAUAUAUAUAUACACAUAUACACACACACACAUACACACACACACACACACAUAUAUAUAUAUAUAUACACAUUGAUAUAUAUAUAAAUAUAUAUAUGUAUAUAUUUAUAUAUAUAUAUAUAUAUAUAUAGUAUAAAUAAUAUAUAUAUAUAUGCAUAUAUACAUACGUAUAUGUACAC